UACAGAGGGGGCAAGCGUUGUUCGGAAUUACUGGGCGUAAAGGGCGCGUAGGCGGCCUGUUAAGUCGAACGUGAAAUCCCUGGGCUCAACCCAGGAACUGCGUCCGAUACUGGCAGGCUUGAAUCCGGGAGAGGGAUGCGGAAUUCCAGGUGUAGCGGUGAAAUGCGUAGAUAUCUGGAGGAACACCGGUGGCGAAGGCGGUUCUCUGGGCAUGUCCUGACGCUGAGGAGCGAAAGUGUGGGGAGCGAACAGG
RNAcentral lists this ribosomal RNA (253 nucleotides) under uncultured bacterium. RNAcentral's name for it is "partial 16S ribosomal RNA". It matches the Rfam family "Bacterial small subunit ribosomal RNA", at positions 524 to 776 of the family's 1533-position model. The record is from RNAcentral.